Molecule: ribosomal RNA, 751 nt
Filed under: Lentilactobacillus buchneri
Lineage: Bacteria; Bacillati; Bacillota; Bacilli; Lactobacillales; Lactobacillaceae
Description: bacterial SSU rRNA
Rfam family: Bacterial small subunit ribosomal RNA
Source: RNAcentral
AUACAUGCAAGUCGAACGCGUCUCCGUUGAUGAUUUUAGGUGCUUGCACUUGAAAGAUUUAACAUUGAGACGAGUGGCGAACUGGUGAGUAACACGUGGGUAACCUGCCCUUGAAGUAGGGGAUAACACUUGGAAACAGGUGCUAAUACCGUAUAACAACCAAAACCACCUGGUUUUGGUUUAAAAGACGGCUUCGGCUGUCACUUUAGGAUGGACCCGCGGCGUAUUAGCUUGUUGGUAAGGUAACGGCUUACCAAGGCGAUGAUACGUAGCCGACCUGAGAGGGUAAUCGGCCACAUUGGGACUGAGACACGGCCCAAACUCCUACGGGAGGCAGCAGUAGGGAAUCUUCCACAAUGGACGAAAGUCUGAUGGAGCAACGCCGCGUGAGUGAUGAAGGGUUUCGGCUCGUAAAACUCUGUUGUUGGAGAAGAACAGGUGUCAGAGUAACUGUUGACAUCUUGACGGUAUCCAACCAGAAAGCCACGGCUAACUACGUGCCAGCAGCCGCGGUAAUACGUAGGUGGCAAGCGUUGUCCGGAUUUAUUGGGCGUAAAGCGAGCGCAGGCGGUUUUUUAGGUCUGAUGUGAAAGCCUUCGGCUUAACCGGAGAAGUGCAUCGGAAACCGGGAGACUUGAGUGCAGAAGAGGACAGUGGAACUCCAUGUGUAGCGGUGAAAUGCGUAGAUAUAUGGAAGAACACCAGUGGCGAAGGCGGCUGUCUGGUCUGUAACUGACGCUGAGGCUCGAAA